UGAAAGAUUCCUGCACCCGUAUAUGGAGCGAAGGAGUGACGGAGACGGAUAGUGUGACCCUCUUAAUGGAUUGAGGGCGAAGCGAAGCGGCUGGUUACCAGGCAAAUCCGGUAACCAUAAGGCUAGAGCGUGACAGGUAAGCGAAAUCUUAGGAAAGUAGCGAAGCACAUGAUGACGGCUUCCAGGAAAAGCUUCUGGCAAUGCAUAUGCGGCCCGUACCAAAACCGACACAGGUGGGCAGGGAGAGAAUCCCGAGGUGAGCGAGAGAACUGUUGCCAAGGAACUCGGCAAAAUGACUCCGUAAGUUAGCGAGAAGGAGUGCUUAAGCAAUUAAGCCGCAGUGAAGAGGCCCAAGCGACUGUUUAACUAAAACACAGCUCUCUGCGAAGUCGCAAGACGAAGUAUAGGGGGUGACACCUGCCCGGUGCUGGAAGGUUAAGAGGAUCUGUUAAGAGCGAUCUGAAGCAGUGAUCCGAAGCCCCAGUGAACGGCGGCCGUAACAAUAACGGUCCUAAGGUAGCGAAAUUCCUUGUCAGGUAAGUUCUGACCCGCACGAAAGGUGUAUCGAUUUGGGCGCUGUCUCGGCAGCAGACUCGGUGAAAUCUUAGUACCUGUGAAAAUGCAGGUUACCCGCAACUAGACGGAAAGACCCCAUGGAGCUUUACUGCAGCCUGAUAUUGAAUUCUGGUCAUACAUGUACAGGACGUGGGAGACAAAGAGACGUGCACGCCAGUGUACGAGGAGUCGACGUUGGGAUACCACUCUUGUGUGACCGGGGUUCUAACCUGGUAUCGAGAACAGGUACGGGGAGAGUGUCAGGUAGGCAGUUUGACUGGGGCGGUCGCCUCCCAAAGAGUAACGGAGGCGCCCAAAGGUACGCUCAGAUUGGAUGGAAACCAAUCGUCGAGUGCAAUUGCAGAAGCGUGCUUGACUGUGAGACAGACAAGUCGAACAGGGACGAAAGUCGGGAAUAGUGAUCCGGCGGUGCCGAAUGGAAGGGCCGUCGCUCAACGGAUAAAAGCUACCCUGGGGAUAACAGGCUGAUCUCGCCCAAGAGUUCACAUCGACGGCGAGGUUUGGCACCUCGAUGUCGGCUCAUCGCAUCCUGGAGCUGGAUUCGGUUCCAAGGGUUGGGCUGUCCGCCCAUUAAAGCGGUACGCGAGCUGGGUUCAGAACGUCGUGAGACAGUUCGGUCCCUAUCUGUUGUGGGCGAAGGAGAUCUGCGGAGAGCUGUCCUCAGUACGAGAGGACCGGGAUGGACCUACCGCUGGUGCACCGGUUGUUCCGCCAGGGGCAUAGCCGGGUAGCUAAGUAGGGAAAGGAUAAGCGCUGAAAGCGUCUAAGCACGAAGCCUACUCCAAGAUGAGAUCUCCCAUUCGCAAGAAGUAAGACCCCUUAAAGACGAUAAGGUAGAUAGGCCAGGGAUGGAAGUGCAGUGAUGUACGGAGUUGACUGGUACUAAUCGGUCGAGGACU
Molecule: ribosomal RNA, 1475 nt
Filed under: metagenome
Description: bacterial LSU rRNA
Rfam family: Bacterial large subunit ribosomal RNA
Source: RNAcentral